Ipomoea nil (Japanese morning glory) is the source of this 2134-nucleotide RNA transcript. It is a transcript of the gene named beta-glucosidase BoGH3B-like, with no coding region annotated. Lineage: Eukaryota; Viridiplantae; Streptophyta; Magnoliopsida; Solanales; Convolvulaceae. The record is from RefSeq and is a predicted model, not a curated record. The transcript is spliced from 8 exons.
UAAAGCUAAUAAGUUUUCUGAUAAGAUCGCAGCCAUGAAAAAUGUUCAAAGAGCUCUGCCGCUGCCAUUGUUGGGGCUUCUGUUACUGCUACUGUGUUCAUGUGCCCCGGCGGCCAUGGCGCGUCGGCCGGUGGGAUACGUGAAAUACAAGGAUCCGACGAAGCCGAUUUCGUCGAGGAUUCGAGACUUGAUUGGGCGGAUGAGUUUGGAGGAGAAGAUCGGGCAAAUGGCACAGCUGGAUCGCAAGGGCCUGACGCCGGAGAUCAUGAGGGAUUACUCCAUUGGCAGUGUGUUGAGCGGGGGCGGAAGCGUGCCGAGGGAGGAAGCCACGGCGGCGGAAUGGGUGGAGAUGGUGAACUGGUUCCAAAACGGUUCGCUGUCGAGCCGGCUCGGGAUUCCGAUGAUAUAUGGGAUUGAUGCUGUUCAUGGGAACAAUAAUGUCUACAAGGCUACUAUUUUUCCCCACAAUAUUGGAUUGGGUGCAACAAGGGAUCCUCAACUAGUGAAGAGAAUUGGUGCUGCAACAGCCCUUGAGACUAGGGCUACUGGCAUAACUUAUGCUUUUGCUCCAUGUAUUGCGGUAUGCAGAGAUCCAAGGUGGGGACGGUGUUAUGAAAGCUAUAGUGAAGAUCCUGAAGUAGUGAAAGAAAUGACAGAAGUCAUACUUGGCUUGCAAGGAGAUGUUCCCCAGGAUUAUCCCAAGGGCUUUCCUUAUGUUGGUGGCAAGAAGAAGGUAGUUGCUUGUGCAAAGCAUUUCGUGGGGGAUGGAGGUACAACGUACGGAAUAGACGAAAGCAACACAGUUAUCGACUGGGAUGGAUUGCUGAGUAUUCACAUGCCGGCGUAUUAUCCCUCCAUCCUCAAGGGCGUUUCCACCGUCAUGGUCUCCUAUUCCAGCUGGAACGGCAAGAAAAUGCACGCCAACCGCGCUCUCGUCACCGACUUUCUCAAAGGAACUCUUGACUUUAAGGGUUUUGUGAUCUCGGAUUGGGAAGGGAUAGAUAGGAUCACUACUCCGGAUCAUUCAAACUACACGUACUCAGUUUUAGCUGGUGUUGGAGCUGGGAUUGACAUGAUCAUGGUUGCUUAUAACUACACAGAGUUCAUAGACACUUUAACUUACUUGGUCAAGAACAAGUUUAUCCCCAUGAGCCGGAUCGACGACGCCGUUACGCGGAUCUUGAGAGUUAAAUUCAUCUUGGGUCUCUUCGAGGACCCACUCGCUGAUCUUAGCCUGGCUGAUCAUCUUGGAAGCCAGGCUCACAGAGAUUUGGCAAGAGAAGCAGUGAGGAAAUCAAUUGUUCUAUUGAAGAAUGGUGAUGAUGAUGAUGAGGCUUUGCUUCCUCUCCCUAAAAAGGCAACAAGAAUCUUAGUUGCAGGAAGUCAUGCUGACAAUUUGGGCUAUCAAUGUGGUGGAUGGACUAUCACUUGGCAAGGCCAAAGUGGCAACAUCACUACCGGAACGACCAUAUUGAAAGCUAUAUCAGACACAGUUGAUCCAACCACAGAAGUAGUGUACAACGAAAACCCUGACUCCGACUUCAUUACAAACUCCAAUGAUUUCGCCUAUGCCAUCGUCGUCGUGGGAGAGCAUCCCUACGCCGAGUACGACGGCGACAACAUGAACUUAACCAUCCCCGACCCCGGCCCAGCCACCAUCGCCACCGUCUGUGAACACAUCAAGUGCGUGGUGGUGCUCAUCUCCGGCCGGCCGCUAGUGUUGGAACCCUAUCUCCCCAAAAUGGACGCUCUAGUGGCUGCAUGGCUCCCCGGAAGUGAAGGACAAGGCGUGGCUGAUGUUUUGUUUGGGGAUUAUGAAUUCACCGGAAAGUUACCUCGGACUUGGUUCAAGACCGUCGACCAACUCCCUAUGAACAUCGGAGAUUCCCACUAUGAUCCGUUGUUUCCCUUUGGGUUUGGACUAACAACUAAACCACUUGUUGCAGAUGCAUAAGGCCGGGCUAUAUAUAUAUAGUAUAGUAUAGUAUAGUAUAAAUAGUUAGGUAGAACAUAUAUAUUGUGGAUCAUAUCGACAUUUUUUCGAGACGAUCCAAAAUAUUUGAAUAAAUAUAGGGUUAGAAUUAUUAUUCGUAUACGUAGAUUGUGAUCAAUUGUCACAAUAAAUAAUGCAUAU